This 497-nucleotide ribosomal RNA is filed under the name uncultured bacterium. RNAcentral's name for it is "partial 16S ribosomal RNA". It matches the Rfam family "Bacterial small subunit ribosomal RNA", at positions 28 to 507 of the family's 1533-position model. The record is from RNAcentral.
GAUGAACGCUGGCGGCGUGCCUAAUACAUGCAAGUCGAGCGAACAGACGAGGAGCUUGCUCCUCUGACGUUAGCGGCGGACGGGUGAGUAACACGUGGAUAACCUACCUAUAAGACUGGGAUAACUUCGGGAAACAGGAGCUAAUACCGGCUCAUAUAUUGAACCGCAUGGUUCAAUAGUGAAAGACGGUUUUGCUGUCACUUAUAGAUGGAUCCGCGCCGCAUUAGCUAGUUGGUAAGGUAACGGCUUACCAAGGCAACGAUGCGUAGCCGACCUGAGAGGGUGAUCGGCCACACUGGAACUGAGACACGGUCCAGACUCCUACGGGAGGCAGCAGUAGGGAAUCUUCCGCAAUGGGCGAAAGCCUGACGGAGCAACGCCGCGUGAGUGAUGAAGGUCUUCGGAUCGUAAAACUCUGUUAUUAGGGAAGAACAAAUGUGUAAGUAACUAUGCACGUCUUGACGGUACCUAAUCAGAAAGCCACGGCUAACUACGUG